UGGAGCUGUUCCUAUUCGGCCAUCUUGCUCCGCCCCUCCUCCUAAGUUUUCAACCAAGAGAAGUGAAAAUCUGUUGACACAAAGGCCUGAAUAGCAUCCUUGAAAUGAUUGACUCAACCAUGAGAGAAACACUGUAAAUAUUCUCAGAUGCAAACUCACAGUACCAGCUUCACAGAACACCUGCAGGUGCAAGUAACUAAAAAUCCAGCUCAAUUUGACUUUAAAUACAAGGGAAUUUAUUGACUCAGGUGGGUAGUUCAGAAGCAGGCCAGGCUUCAGGGUGAAUCUGAGCACUGAAGCUCAUGGAUGCUACCAGGACUGUCUCUUCCCAAUUUUCUGCUCUGCCUUCAGUGAAGUCAGAAUAAUUCUGCGUGUGGCAAAAUCUUCAGGAACAAUUUCUGAGGUUGCAUUCUUCACCAAAGAGGGAACAUGAACAAGCACACUCUUGUUCCUAACAACCUAGCACAACUUGUAUUUGACUCUAAUUGGAACAACUCAGACCCUUGCCCAUCCCCAAGUCCAUUAGGGGGACCAAGGGAGUGCUGUGUGGCACCUGGCAUGAGCCUCAGUUAUGCACCCACUUUGGAACCAAUAACUGUGACACGGGGUGAGACAGUGCUGGUUAAGUCAACCAGGACCCACCCCAUGUUUCAAACCAUGUGACUGAAUAAUUCAAGGCUCUGUUAGGAAGGAGAAAGGGGGAUGUUUCUUAAAUAGCACCCAACACUCAACUACAAUUUAAUUUGACGGGAACCCGGAGGCGCUGCCAUAGAAAUCUCUCACAGUUGCUUGGAAUGAGAGCACUCAAUAUAAAAAUCCUAUGGUAGCAACCCUAUGGCCUCAAGGGCGCCACGCAGUUGGUGUGGAGGGUGGGGCAAGGAGGGUGGGGAAGGGCUCAGGGUCUUCGGAAGAUGAAGCCAAAGAACAGAUGGCACUGACUUAGCAGAGUGGAAAAUGUUUAACCCCAAGGGAUGCCUACAGAGGCAGCUAAGCCACACCACAGACUCCUAGAAGGGCUUGUGUUAGGGUUCCCAAGUAUCUAGGUAAGCUGAGGAGAUGGUGAGGCAGACACAGAGGGUCGGUUCAAAGCACAUUGGGAAGACUGUGAUCCCAAGACCCCUCAGUCCACACUGGCAGUCAAAUGCUCCUCCCUGACAUCGGAAAAAGAAACAAUUUAUUUUCUUCAGAUAUUGAAACAGAACUUUUCUAAGCUCCAGGACACUGGAUAAUGCUGCUUAUGCAAAGACAGUAUUUAGUGAAAGCCAGUUUACUGAGCAGGGAGAUCUGCAGACUCUUUCUCCCUCUUGGCUCCCAGAAUGCUGGGGUCAGCUUGCAGUCUUAGGAGACUGGCGACCUCUUUUUGGAGAGGAUCUGCAGAUACCAACAUUUUCAGGGUUUCCUCAGGUCCAGCAGUGCCAGGCUCCUGUGGGCUCUUCUUUUGGGGAAGCAAAAGAAGACUCCAUCUGUACACACAGAAUGCAUUAAUUAUAUUUUCUUAUUUUAUGUUUUCUUGAUGCUCUAGCAUCUGGUGUUUACUGGGAAAAGAUUGCCUUUCCCAGGGCCAGGCAAUUAAACUACCAAUUCAGAACCCAUACUCCUAACCACCUACUUUAGCUGGCUCUGAUACUGUAGGAGACAAUACCGCCCUUCCUUAAUCACCACAGGGUGAGGUACUAGGCAACUAGAAAUGGCCCCUAUGCCCCAGAGCCUGCUGAAGCUAUUAACGCUGGACAGCCUAAGCCUGCCUGCCCUUGCUGUCCCACAGAGACCACAGCAGAGGAUCCUGCCCGUGCCUUCCCCUCUCCUGCCUCUGCCUGGGGCAUCCCUGUGCCUCCUGUUUCUAGGAAUCUGUGAGUAUGAAUAAGACAGUCACUUCCAUGUCUGCAGGUCUUAAUAUCCCUGAUUAAAACAAAAUCUGAGUACAUUUUAAAACAUAAGGCUUCCAAUGGAAUUUUUAAAACCCUUAUAUGGAGAAUUUUAAACAUAUAUGUAAAUAAACAUGAAUAUAACAAACCCCUAUAUAUCUAUAACCCUUCAGAACAACAAGAAGCACAUGGGCAAUUCUGUUCCGUCUAUAUUCCCAAAUAAAAUUCAUACAUUGUGA
Molecule: long non-coding RNA, 2104 nt
Organism: Macaca mulatta (Rhesus monkey)
Lineage: Eukaryota; Metazoa; Chordata; Mammalia; Primates; Cercopithecidae
Source: RefSeq, a predicted model, not a curated record